Molecule: long non-coding RNA, 1127 nt
Filed under: Vombatus ursinus (common wombat)
Lineage: Eukaryota; Metazoa; Chordata; Mammalia; Diprotodontia; Vombatidae
Description: lncRNA (ENSVURG00010011728.1)
Source: RNAcentral
GCCAUUAGUAUAUUGGAAGGCAGUCAUAGGAACAGAAACUUCUAUCUAUCAUGUUGACUCUUUGGAAUUUCAGUGUCAUACAUUCUCUUAGCCUAAGCAGUAUUUUUACAUAACAUCUCGAGAGCUGCUUAUUGAAGUCCAGGAUGUUAACCAUGGACAUGAGGCUAAACAGCCUAGGAGCAAAGUGUCCUAAUUUAUUUGUAAAUGCUUUCAAAUGUUGUGGUAGAAGUGCUCCCUAAAGUUAGAAGAGGUUGGGGGCAGGGAGACAGGGCAGGUUGGGUUCUAUUUUGAGACCCGCAGAAGAGGAAGUGAGAUGAGUUUGGAAUGUUCUGUGCCCAGCUCCUCCUAUCACCUGCUGGGGAAAGCUGGAAAAGAGGAAAUGUCCCUGGUGAACCAGGAGUGACUGUCAAGGUGAAAACCUGCACAGGGGAAAGGACAUGGAAAUAAUGGCUCAUGGAGAGGAUUUGGUUUUUGCAAGUUUCCUGAAGAAAAGAAAAGAUAAAAUGAAAUUUUUGUGGGUGCAAUACUGGUUCCAACUUCAAAAUACUACCUUCUCUUUCUUUCUGAAGAAGGGUGGAGAUGCAGUGCAGGCUGUGAGGGAAUUUGGUACACUGAAUGGUGAUUACCUCUUUGAGAUUACAAUGAAAAAUGGGAAGAAGAAAAUUCUGGCUGCAGAGACUCCCAAACUUCGUGCUAUGUGGAUUGAAACUUUAUGGAAAUCCAUGCAGCUUAUCGGGCCAUACCUCAGCCAGGCUGCCUACGGAAGGAGUGACUUUCCAAGGCCAUCUGGAGAAGCGUUACCUGGGACUGCACUUGGUGAGGAAGAACUAAGCAAAAGCCAGUCAUCUGCCAAGGAGAACUUUCCCUCUCCAGCCAAGACCAUGAAUAGCUUAAUCCCAGAAGAGAUGUUGGAAAUCAGACCCUACCAUGCUGUGCCAAAUGCAGCCUUCAAUAUUUAUGAUGUCCCAAGAUCCUGGAGGAGCAACAGGCCAGCUGAAAAUAAUCUGGGCAAGUAUAUGUAUACUUGGGGUUCCAGGAUUGGAGUCGUGGCGGGGGGAAGAGGUUAUGUGGGUGUGCAAAGCAAAGAGAGUGUUCUUAGUCAAACAAUAUUCCUUGAACGUCCGUAG